Molecule: long non-coding RNA, 1893 nt
Organism: Oryctolagus cuniculus (rabbit)
Lineage: Eukaryota; Metazoa; Chordata; Mammalia; Lagomorpha; Leporidae
Source: Ensembl
AUGAGAUUACCACAGAACUCGGUAUGUGAGGGUGACACAACAGAGCCAUGUUUUUUGGGGGGCACACUGAGCACGGGUCGUUGAGGUUGGCACACAGAGCACGGUCCGUGGGGGGCACACAGAGCACGGGCCGUGGAGGGUGGCACACAGAGCACAGGCCGUGGAGGGUGGCACACAGAGCACGGCCGUGGAGGGUGGCACACAGAGCACGGCCGUGGAGGGUGGCACACAGAGCACGGCCGUGGAGGGCGGCACACAGAGCACGGGCCGUGGGGGGCACACAGAGCACAGGCCGUGGAGGGCGGCACACAGAGCACGGGCCGUGGAGGGCGGCACACAGAGCACGGGCCGUGGAGGGCGGCACACAGAGCACGGGCCGUGGGGGGCACACAGAGCACGGGCCGUGGAGGGCGGCACACAGAGCACGGCCGUGGAGGGCGGCACACAGAGCACGGCCGUGGAGGGCGGCACACAGAGCACGGCCGUGGAGGGCGGCACACAGAGCACGGGCCGGGCCGUGGAGGGCGGCACACAGAGCACGGGCCGUGGAGGGCGGCACAGAGCACGGGCCGUGGAGGGCGGCACACAGAGCACGGCCCCCCAGUACUUUUUAUGAGCACAAUGAAUCUCCAGAAAAGAAAAGCUCUAAACAAAAGCACGAACCCACGGGACUGCGGCUGUGCUCCCCACGUAUCACACACUCUGACGCUUGCUCUGGCUCCCAUCUACCCAAGACAAGGCCCGCAGGGAGCUGGAUCCUCUGCAUGACGUGCCAGUCCCUACGCGAGGACGGGAGAAGCCCAGCCUGCAUCGUAUCUGCCUUCAACACAGUCACCCGCGGUGUUGACGCGGCGGCAGGUACUCUGACGUCUGCUACCGAAACCCUUCAGUAAAGUACUCCAAGGGCCAGCGCUGUGGCACGGGGUGAGCCUCGGCUCGCCAGGCCAGCACCCCGCAUCUGACGGCUGUGGCUUCAGCUCGGCUGCUCCACUUCCCACCCAGCUCCCUGCUAAUGCACCCGCCCCCCACCCACGUGGGAGCCCAGCUGGGCGCUCCUGGCUCCGGCCCGCACAGAGCACUGCGGAGGACACAACUUUCAGAACCUGGAGCAAGUCAGAGUGGGGCAGGGCGCUCCCAGCACAGAAAACACGGGCAGGGCCGACGCGGCGGCAGGCUCAGAGGCCCACGUCGUCCUGGCGGGCGGGCUGGGGGUCCCAUCCCAGAGUCACAGGCAGUCUUGGAAGCCCGCUGAGCCGGAGGCUGGCCAGACCUCACCUGUGUUCAGGAGCCACGACCGGCAGCCAGGAAGGAGCAGGGAGAUGCGCUAGGCCAAGGCGUCCAACCCGGUGUUCCCGGGGUCUGAGCUGGCUGACUUCCCAACCAGCUGAGACGGGUCAUCCCCCACCCCACAGACGCGUGCACCCGCCGCCCCCAGCCACCCCAGGCCAGGCCGAGCAGGCACCACCCCACUGAGCAGCGCGCACGGCGGGCCCUGCUAACUCCAUCUCACUGUCCUGACGCCUGCCAAGAGCCAGCGGUCCCCGCAGCACCUCAGCCGGCUCCGUCAGGGCCACGCUGGGCGCCUCCACUUCCUCUCCAACACAAAGAAACAAAGCCACCUGCACCUGCGAGCCCGCUCCCCGCAAACACCGCUCCCCACACGCCAGCGGCCCAGGGCUCCCCGCAGCGGCCACCCCCUUCUCAAGGACUAAGGGCUCCCUCCUCGGUCCGCGGCGGGGCGCGGCCGCAGCUCCGCGCGCCCCGAUGCCCGCACCUACUGAAGGGCGGUUCCGCCCGGCGGAACCAACGGGCACUGCGUGACCUUCGGGGACAGGACUUUCACCCGACACGGGCCGCGUGUCCUCGCGUGGGUCUCACGGCCCACAGGAGACG